RNAcentral lists this ribosomal RNA (705 nucleotides) under Enterobacteriaceae bacterium. Its description in RNAcentral is "bacterial SSU rRNA". It matches the Rfam family "Bacterial small subunit ribosomal RNA", at positions 61 to 757 of the family's 1533-position model. Lineage: Bacteria; Pseudomonadati; Pseudomonadota; Gammaproteobacteria; Enterobacterales; Enterobacteriaceae. The record is from RNAcentral.
GUCGACGGCAGCACAGAGAGCUUUGCUCUCGGGUGGCGAGUGGGGGACGGGUGAGUAAUGUCUGGGGAUCUGCCCGGUAGAGGGGGAUAACCACUGGAAACGGUGGCUAAUACCGCAUAACGUCGCAAGACCAAAGAGGGGGACCUUCGGGCCUCUCACUAUCGGAUGAACCCAGAUGGGAUUAGCUAGUAGGUGGGGUAACGGCUCACCUAGGCGACGAUCCCUAGCUGGUCUGAGAGGAUGACCAGCCACACUGGAACUGAGACACGGUCCAGACUCCUACGGGAGGCAGCAGUGGGGAAUAUUGCACAAUGGGCGCAAGCCUGAUGCAGCCAUGCCGCGUGUAUGAAGAAGGCCUUCGGGUUGUAAAGUACUUUCAGCGGGGAGGAAGGGAUGAAGCUUAAUACGCUUCGUCAUUGACGUUACCCGCAGAAAAAGCACCGGCUAACUCCGUGCCAGCAGCCGCGGUAAUACGGAGGGUGCAAGCGUUAAUCGGAAUUACUGGGCGUAUAGCGCACGCACGCGGUCUGUCAAGUCGGAUGUGAAAUCCCCGGGCUUAACCUGGGAACUGCAUUCUAAACUGGCAGGCUAGAGUCUUGUAGAGGGGGGUAGAAUUCCCGGUGUAGCGGUGAAAUGCGUAUAGAUCUGGAGGAAUACCGGUGGCGAAGGCGGCCCCCUGGACAAAGACUGACGCUCAGGUGCGAA